This 1574-nucleotide long non-coding RNA is filed under the name Homo sapiens (human). RNAcentral's name for it is "HSALNT0397071". Lineage: Eukaryota; Metazoa; Chordata; Mammalia; Primates; Hominidae. The record is from RNAcentral.
CUGGAGGUGAUUGCAGAAGGAGGAGCAGCUCCCUUUGUUGUCUCUUCAGGCAGCUGUAGUGUCUCUUCAGCAUUUGUUGGGUUCACAACCUAUUUAAAAGCCAGCUGGUCUUCACCCUCCCAGACAAGUCAGCUCAAGGGAGGCGGUGGGGUGCGGGCCUUGGCCUGAGCCCCACCCAAGGCUGAGCUGUGGGGCAGUCAGGAGAGCAGCAGGCAAGACCAUCUCUGCAGGCGCAGUGAAGCCCUGGCCUAGAGCAGCAGGUGUGAGAGGCCAAACCUGCAAGCUAAGGCACAGGUAGUGGCAGAGAGGAGUAGAGGCCCCCCAUGGGGAACACACUGAACUGUUGUGUGUGCCCCAAGUGGGGCUGGCACCGGGGUCGUGUGUGGCCCUGUGAGCCUGAGAUCUGUGAGGCAAUAACUGGGAACACAACGCCAGUAGCACCAGUGCCUGCUGCUGUAUAGCCUACUGAAUUUGCUUUUGAAGCUGUUGAGAGCCUCCAUGUACACCACAUCCAUGACCAAGAGAUUCCAGAAGAUAGAGCUUUGGAGCCAAACCCUUCUGAUGAUCCAAGGGCAAGCACAGUCUUCUUGCAAAAAUCUCAAACAGAUGUUCAAGAAAAGAGAAAGAGCAACGACAUGAACCAUGUAUCUACUAAGCAUUUUACUAAAAAGUACAGCUCGUGUUCAACCAUAUACCUAGAUGACAGCACAGCCAGCCAGCCUCAUCUUACAAUCAUAGUAAAAUCUGUGGCCUUAGCAAUAUAUUAUCACAUGAAGAAAAGCAAGAAAAGAUGCCAAAGGAAUACUUUGAGUAUGUUCCUGAACACAAGUUUAUUUACAGAUUUGUCCAUGUUCUUUUUAAAGCCACAAACCUAACAGCUGAAUUUGCAAUAGUAACUUUGGAAUGAGCUUGAAAGACAGUUUUUGCAGCUAAUUGACUAUAACGUCGAAGUUUCUGGAAGUGUUUAUGCCAAGUACUAUUUUGAUCUUCGAUCCUUGGCAAAGGACAAUAGCUUGCAUUUUCCAGUUUAUCUUCUCAACAAAGAAAGGGCACAGAACCUGGAAGCUAUUUCAAGGAUGGAAGACGCCAAAAUCUUUUAUAGUGAAGGUCCUUCAGCGCUGAUAAUUUCAUUAAUCUUCAGCGCUCUAAAGCCAUUAACUCUUGAAGGAAGAAAUGAGGGGCUAUAUCAUGUGAACCCCUCAUCAAAAAAGUUCGGAAAAUAUUACCUCUCAUGCUCAACAACUAGAAAACUCAUGCAGUGUUUCUGGAAACUAGUUUAGCUGCAGUAUGCAAGUUAGCUUGAAUUUUUCGUCAGCAAAGGCUUCUCCCUAAGCACAUUUAAGAUGACUGUGGCCUGACUGUUCCUUCACACAGCAUUGUUGAAUAUGAAACUACUUGGAAAAUGAUUUCACAGACGGCAGAGAAAUCUCCCAGAUAUUCUUUAAAAGAAGUGUAUUUCUUCAUAGAAACAUGACGAGAAAAAGACUUCCAUGGCAUCUUUUUAUUUUCUUCACUAUUGCUUUAAUGCAUUUUAAAAUUAAUCUAUAUUAAUUGAGAAUAAAGGAACAAAAAGA